Leptonychotes weddellii (Weddell seal) is the source of this 411-nucleotide non-coding RNA. The record is from RefSeq and is a predicted model, not a curated record. NCBI's taxonomy places the organism in Eukaryota, Metazoa, Chordata, Mammalia, Carnivora, Phocidae.
UCAACCUAAUUGGAUUCAAAAAAUAAAUGAUAUACACGUGGCCAUAGAAGAAAAUGUCUUUUGGGAAUGUAAAGCAAAUGGAAGGCCCAAACCUACAUACAGGUGGCUAAAAAAUGGUGAACCUCUAUUAACUCGGGAUAGAAUUCAAAUUGAGCAAGGAACUCUCAACAUAACAAUAGUGAACCUCUCAGAUGCUGGCAUGUAUCAGUGUGUGGCAGAGAAUAAACACGGAGUUAUCUUUUCCAGCGCAGAGCUUAGUGUUAUAGCUGUGGGUCCGGAUUUUUCAAGAACCCUCUUAAAAAGAGUAACUCUUGUCAAAGUGGGAGGUGAAGUUGUCAUUGAGUGUAAGCCAAAAGCUUCUCCUAAACCUGUCUACAUCUGGAAGAAAGGAAGGGACAUAUUAAGAGAAAA